CGGACGGGUGAGUAACACGUACGUGACCUGACCCCAAGUGGGGGAUACCUGCCCGAAAGGGUGGCUAAUACCGCAUGUGGUCACCGGGGGUGCCCGGUGAGUAAAGGGUUAUCGCAAGGUAACCCGCUUAGGGAGGGGCGUGCGGCCGAUUAGCUCGUUGGUGGGGUAACGGCCUACCAAGGCAGUGAUCGGUAGCUGGGCUGAGAGGCUGACCAGCCACACUGGGACUGAGAUACGGCCCAG
This 243-nucleotide ribosomal RNA is filed under the name uncultured bacterium. RNAcentral's name for it is "partial 16S ribosomal RNA". It matches the Rfam family "Bacterial small subunit ribosomal RNA", at positions 99 to 334 of the family's 1533-position model. The record is from RNAcentral.